This 468-nucleotide ribosomal RNA is filed under the name uncultured bacterium. RNAcentral's name for it is "partial 16S ribosomal RNA". It matches the Rfam family "Bacterial small subunit ribosomal RNA", at positions 28 to 507 of the family's 1533-position model. The record is from RNAcentral.
GACGAACGCUGGCGGCGUGCUUAACACAUGCAAGUCGAACGGAAAGGCCCUGCUUUUGUGGGGUGCUCGAGUGGCGAACGGGUGAGUAACACGUGAGUAACCUGCCCUUGACUUUGGGAUAACUUCAGGAAACUGGGGCUAAUACCGGAUAGGAGCUCCUGCUGCAUGGUGGGGGUUGGAAAGUUUCGGCGGUUGGGGAUGGACUCGCGGCUUAUCAGCUUGUUGGUGGGGUAGUGGCUUACCAAGGCUUUGACGGGUAGCCGGCAUGAGAGGGUGACCGGCCACAUUGGGACUGAGAUACGGCCCAGACUCCUACGGGAGGCAGCAGUGGGGAAUAUUGCACAAUGGGCGGAAGCCUGAUGCAGCAACGCCGCAUGCGGGAUGACGGCCUUCGGGUUGUAAACCGCUUUCGCCUGUGACGAAGCGUGAGUGACGGUAAUGGGUAAAGAAGCACCGGCUAACUACGUG